This is a small nuclear RNA of Molossus molossus (Pallas's mastiff bat), 136 nucleotides long. RefSeq annotates it as U11 spliceosomal RNA. The record is from RefSeq and is a predicted model, not a curated record. The transcript has a single exon. NCBI's taxonomy places the organism in Eukaryota, Metazoa, Chordata, Mammalia, Chiroptera, Molossidae.
CGAAAGGGCUUCUGUCGUGAGUGCACAAGUGUGUAGGGCAGCUUGACUGCUCUGUGAGCAGAGUCGAAUCAAGAGAUUUCAGAAGCGUCAUUUUUUGGUUUCUGGGCAGCUGGUGAUUGUUGGUCCAGGCUCCCGC